Molecule: non-coding RNA, 73 nt
Organism: Potamilus streckersoni
Lineage: Eukaryota; Metazoa; Mollusca; Bivalvia; Unionida; Unionidae
Source: the annotation of a GenBank genome assembly
GCUCCAGUGGCCUAGUGGUUAGAACAUCUGCCUCAGAUGUUGAAGAUCAUGGGUUCGAUCCACAACUGAAUCA